UGAAAUAAAUGUCUUUACUGUCACUUUUGACAAAUUUAAUGCAUCCUUGAUGAAUAAAAGUAUUAAUUUCCUUAAUGCAAAUUUUUACUCACCCUAUACUUUUGAACAGCAGCGUAGGCAGUGUGAAACAAACUUGACGUAGAGUUUGAUAUUAGCUGACAUCUAAACUAAUGACACAUUGCUCUAAUAAUCAUGAAAUUUACAUAGCACACAAAUAUGUGGAAGAAUAGUCCAUUUUAAUUCAUUUCCUCGCUAGGCAGCUCACAAAGUUUUUCAGCAGAGCUGGAGUCUGAAAGAGAAAGGGAAUUCAGGAUUUAAUUCAUUGAGUUUGCAGCACUAGAAUGUUCUAGUCUAGAAUGUUCUUUCUAAAAAAAAGUCUACUGCUUAUAUCCAUUCAGAAGCUCUUCCAGGUUUGUGGACUAGUCAUGUGACUAUCACUGAAAACUGAGACCCACAGCAUUUGAUCACUGGAUUUACAGAAAUCAUUUCACUUUUCAGAAGUGUUCUCUCAACAUUGCAAUUCUAAUCAGCUCCUAAUGAACACAUUAAUUAUUAUUUGAAUUAUCACUCAGUGAGUCAUUAAACCUUGUAUUACAAAUAAAAACAACUGUAUCUGUUUAUAGUAAGUGUUUUAUUUAGAUUUUUUUUUUUUUUUACAUAUAUAUUUUAAUUUAUUUUAAUUUUGGGAUGUAAUAUUUAAUGCACUUCAUGUUAACAAAGAAUGCAAUAUAUUCUCUUUGCUUUUUUAUAUCAACAUGCUACAAGAUUAUCCUUUUCAAAUCAAUGUGAUAAACAAGAAGGUCAAAAGUAAUCUAAAAGUAAUCAGAUUACAUUACCUUAAAUGUGUAAUGUAAUGGAUUUUGGAUGUAAUUUGGAAUCAGUAAACGAUUACAAUUUAUAAAUAAUUAAUCAUUCUCUGUCAGAUCAACAAUUCAUAGUUUUCAUGUGAGGUCACACCCUUAAAGUAACACCCACCUGGAGGGCAAAACAAGAUUUUUCUUCUGCUGCCAGCCAGUCAUUUUCAACAGGUUUGUAGUAAGUACUUAUCUAGUAAGACAGUGAUAUUAAAAGACCAAAUUCAGUAUACACCUUAUAGAUAAUGCACACUAUAUACAGGGGAGCAGAUGAACCGUGAAUAUAAACACAACACACAGUUUCUGGUUAAGUGUUUGUCCAUAGAAAACCAUUAUAAAGAAAACAACACAUUGUGUUUGUAUCUCCUCGCCUGUAUAUAGUAUGCUUCAUCGAUGAGCUGUAUACUGAAUUUGAUUGUUUAAUAUCACUGUUUUAGUACACUAAGGCACUUUAAGUGUUUUUCAUGUUAAGUGUUUUAGAACAAGUGCACAAAAACUUACACAUAUUUUUGUAUUUGUUCUUUUGAGAUGGAAAACUGACAGGCCUGUUCAGUGGAUGUUUUACCCUCCAGGUCUCCGCGGCAGUCACAUGACCGAAAACUAUGACUAGUCAUGUUGGAGCAACAGUUUGAAGAGAGAAUCUCGAUAUUUGAAGGAAACUAUCAAACUGAAGUUUGCAAAAUGGCACAGCAACAUCAGGACUGAACACUUGAAAUGCAUUGGAAAUGAAAGGAAGAAAAGGAUACAAAAUAGGUUUUCGGAGGGAGUUGGUGAGUCCUUUCCCAAAGGUUGGUUUUGCUGAUGGUGUCAGGCCAUCAGAUCUGGAGAAAUCUUCUGAGACAGCUGUUGAUGAAGGUUUGGACCUUCCUGAUGGCCAUCUUGAGAUGUAUGUAGGCCGUUCUUGCUUUGCCAAUCCUUGCCUUGACAUCUGCGUCUGUGCCGCCCUGUUGGUCAAUGAUGCUGCCCAGAAGACCAGAACACAACUAGAUGGGCACUCUCCACACCCCUAUCAAACCCGCUGACCUGCUGCUCAC
Long non-coding RNA from Ctenopharyngodon idella (grass carp), 1888 nucleotides. RefSeq lists it as uncharacterized. The record is from RefSeq and is a predicted model, not a curated record. NCBI's taxonomy places the organism in Eukaryota, Metazoa, Chordata, Actinopteri, Cypriniformes, Xenocyprididae. The transcript is spliced from 4 exons.